This 701-nucleotide ribosomal RNA is filed under the name uncultured bacterium. RNAcentral's name for it is "bacterial SSU rRNA". It matches the Rfam family "Bacterial small subunit ribosomal RNA", at positions 73 to 771 of the family's 1533-position model. The record is from RNAcentral.
AAAGCCUUCGGGCUGAGUAGAGCGGCGGACGGGUGAGUAACGCGUAGGAAUCUACCUGGUAGUGGGGGACAACUUGGGGAAACUCAAGCUAAUACCGCAUACGCCCUAAGGGGGAAAGCGGGGGACCUUCGGGCCUCGCGCUAUCGGAUGAGCCUGCGUAGGAUUAGCUAGUUGGUGGGGUAAAGGCCCACCAAGGCGACGAUCCUUAGCUGGUCUGAGAGGAUGAUCAGCCACACUGGAACUGAGACACGGUCCAGACUCCUACGGGAGGCAGCAGUGGGGAAUAUUGCGCAAUGGGCGAAAGCCUGACGCAGCCAUGCCGCGUGUGUGAAGAAGGCCUUAGGGUUGUAAAGCACUUUCAAUUGGGAAGAAAAGUUUGUCGUUAAUAGCGGCAAGCUCUGACAUUACCUUUAGAAGAAGCACCGGCUAACUCCGUGCCAGCAGCCGCGGUAAUACGGAGGGUGCGAGCGUUAAUCGGAAUUACUGGGCGUAAAGCGCGCGUAGGCGGUUUGUUAAGUCAGCUGUGAAAGCCCCGGGCUCAACCUGGGAACUGCAGUUGAUACUGGCCGACUAGAGUACGAGAGAGGGAGGUAGAAUUCCAUGUGUAGCGGUGAAAUGCGUAGAUAUAUGGAGGAAUACCAGUGGCGAAGGCGGCCUCCUGGCUCGAUACUGACGCUGAGGUGCGAAAGCGUGGGGAUCAC